UAGGUUUGAGCAUUGUACAAGGAGA
RNAcentral lists this non-coding RNA (25 nucleotides) under Mus musculus (house mouse). The record is from RNAcentral. Lineage: Eukaryota; Metazoa; Chordata; Mammalia; Rodentia; Muridae.